Molecule: small RNA, 18 nt
Filed under: Arabidopsis thaliana (thale cress)
Lineage: Eukaryota; Viridiplantae; Streptophyta; Magnoliopsida; Brassicales; Brassicaceae
Description: ATSL122320
Source: RNAcentral
UUCUCUCUCUCUCUCUUC